CCUACGGGCGGCAGCAGUGGGGAAUAUUGGGCAAUGGGCGCAAGCCUGAUCCAGCAACGCCGCGUGAAGGAAGAAGGCUUUCGGGUUGUAAACUUCUUUUCUCAGGGACGCAGAAAGUGACGGUACCUGAGGAAUAAGCCACGGCUAACUACGUGCCAGCAGCCGCGGUAAUACGUAGGUGGCAAGCGUUAUCCGGAUUUAUUGGGUGUAAAGGGCGUGUAGGCGGGAGCGCAAGUCAGAUGUGAAAACUCAGGGCUCAACCCUGAGCCUGCAUUUGAAACUGUGUUUCUUGAGUGAUGGAGAGGCAAUCGGAAUGCCGUGUGUAGCGGUGAAAUGCGUAGAUAUACGGAGGAACACCAGUGGCGAAGGCGGAUUGCUGGACAGUAACUGACGCUGAGGCGCGAAAGCGUGGGGAGCAAACAGGAUUAGAUACCCGAGUAGUC
RNAcentral lists this ribosomal RNA (443 nucleotides) under uncultured bacterium. RNAcentral's name for it is "partial 16S ribosomal RNA". It matches the Rfam family "Bacterial small subunit ribosomal RNA", at positions 338 to 795 of the family's 1533-position model. The record is from RNAcentral.